RNAcentral lists this long non-coding RNA (253 nucleotides) under Elaeis guineensis (African oil palm). RNAcentral's name for it is "long non-coding RNA (EGUI_LNC025324)". The record is from RNAcentral. Lineage: Eukaryota; Viridiplantae; Streptophyta; Magnoliopsida; Arecales; Arecaceae.
GGUUUCACAUUCAAAUUGAGAGCCUGGAUCAUUGAGGAGGCCGACAUCAUGAAUAGCUGAAUUCUAGAUUGAGAUAAAAAAAUGAGAGCUUGGGUACUCUAUUGUACCUGCAUGAUGCGGUGCACAGCGCACUAUUCAUCGCACGAUGGAUGGCUGCAUGCGGAUGUACAUUCAUUGUACGCGAUCGUCCAUCGUGCGAUGGACGAGGUGCGCUGUGCAUCGUACGGUACGGUGCACAGCAGAGGAUCCAUGC